CGAACGCUGGCGGUGUGCUUAAUACAUGCAAGUCGAACGAUCAGGCACCUUCGGGUGUACAUAAGUGGCGGACGGGUGAGUAACACGUAGGUAAUCUGCCUUAAGGCGGGGGAUAACACCGGGAAACUGGUGCUAAUACCCCAUAUGUGACAGUCUGCAAUGACUGUCAUGAAAGCUCCGGCGCCUUUAGAUGAGCCUGCGUCUGAUUAGCUUGUUGGUGGGGUAAUGGCCUACCAAGGCGACGAUCAGUAGCUGGUCUGAGAGGAUGAUCAGCCACCAAUGGAACUGAGACACGGUCCAUACUCCUACGGGAGGCAGCAGUAGGGAAUUUUGCGCAAUGGGCGAAAGCCUGACGCAGCAACAACGCGUGUGGGAUGAAGCUUUUCGGAGUGUAAACCACUGUCAGAGGGGACGAAAACCUGACGGUACCCUCAAAGGAAAGCAUCGGCUAACUAACGUGCCCAGCAGCCGCGGUAAGACGUAGGAUGCAAGCGUUGUCCGGAAUCAUUGGGCGUAAAGCGUUCGUAGGCGGCCUGUCAAGUUCUGAUGUUAAAGCCCGGGGCUCAACCCCGGUUCAGCAUUGGAUACUGACCAGCUAGAGUACACGCAGAGGCCAAGGGAAUUCCUAGUGUAGCGGUGAAAUGCCUAGAUAUUAGGAGGAACACCGGUGGUGAAAAGCGCCUUGAUGGAUUGAACUUGACGCUUAGGGACGCAUGCCAGGGGAGCAAAUUGGGAUUAGAUACCCCAGUUAUCCCUGGCUGUAAACGAUGGAUACUAGGUGUUGCGGGUAUCGACCCCUGCAGUGCCGCAGCUAACGCGAUAAGUAUCCCGCCUGGGGAGUACGCACGCAAGUGUGAAACUCAAAGGAAUUGACGGGGACCCGCACAAGCGGUGGAACAUGUGGUUUAAUUCGAAGCAACGCGAAGAACCUUACCAGGACUUGACAUCUAGCGAAUCUUUCAGAAAUGAGAGAGUGCCUUCGGGAACGCUAAGACAGGUGGUGCACGGUUGUCGUCAGCUCGUGUCGUGAGAUGUUGGGUUAAGUCCCGCAACGAGCGCAACCCUCGUUGUUAGUUGCCAGUAACGGCAUGCUGUUACUGUGCUCUCUAGCGAGACUGCCGGUGAUAAACCGGACGAAGGUGGGGAUGACGUCAAAUCAUCAUGCCCCUUAUGUCCUGGGCUACACACGUGUUACAAUGGAUGGGACAACGAGCAGCCAGCCAGCGAUGGUGAGCAAAUCUCUUAAACCCAUUCCCAGUUCGGAUCGCAGUCUGCAACCCGACUGCGUGAAGUCGGAAUCGCUAGUAACCGUAGAUCAGCACGCUGCGCUGAAUACGUUCCCGGGUCUUGUACACACCGCCCGUCACACCAUGGGAGCUGACCACGCCCGAAGUCG
This 1396-nucleotide ribosomal RNA is filed under the name uncultured organism. RNAcentral describes it as "bacterial SSU rRNA". It matches the Rfam family "Bacterial small subunit ribosomal RNA". The record is from RNAcentral.